This 191-nucleotide ribosomal RNA is filed under the name uncultured Burkholderiales bacterium. RNAcentral's name for it is "partial 16S ribosomal RNA". It matches the Rfam family "Bacterial small subunit ribosomal RNA", at positions 141 to 334 of the family's 1533-position model. The record is from RNAcentral. Lineage: Bacteria; Pseudomonadati; Pseudomonadota; Betaproteobacteria; Burkholderiales.
GGAUAACUACUCGAAAGAGUAGCUAAUACCGCAUACGAUCUGAGGAUGAAAGCGGGGGACCUUCGGGCCUCGCGCGAUUGGAGCGGCCGAUGGCAGAUUAGGUAGUUGGUGGGAUAAAAGCUUACCAAGCCGACGAUCUGUAGCUGGUCUGAGAGGACGACCAGCCACACUGGGACUGAGACACGGCCCAG